Molecule: unclassified non-coding RNA, 253 nt
Filed under: uncultured Gammaproteobacteria bacterium
Lineage: Bacteria; Pseudomonadati; Pseudomonadota; Gammaproteobacteria
Description: contains 16S-23S intergenic spacer region
Rfam family: Bacterial small subunit ribosomal RNA
Source: RNAcentral
UACGUAGGGUGCAAGCGUUAAUCGGAAUCACUGGGCGUAAAGCGUGCGCAGGUGGUUUUGUAAGUCAGACGUGAAAUCCCCGGGCUUAACCUGGGAACUGCGUUUGAAACUACAAGGCUAGAGUGUGGCAGAGGGGGGUGGAAUUCCGCGUGUAGCAGUGAAAUGCGUAGAUAUGUGGAGGAACACCGAUGGCGAAGGCAGCCCCCUGGGUCAACACUGACGCUCAGGCACGAAAGCAUGGGGAGCAAACAGG